UUAACACACAGCAAGUCCAGGCCUUGUUCUGACACAUUGAGAGGACUGGCUGUCAAAGACUUCUGAGAAGAGCUUUAGAAAGAACCGUCAGUCAGCAUGACAGAGGCCAAUGAAGAUGCUACAGCAAACUGCAAGACACAAUACUAUGGGAAGAUAACAGCAAGGACAAAGGGCAAAGGGAACAAGAGACGCUCUGUGAAAAUAAUAUUAACUGUUGGGCGCGAAAUUAAAAGGACAUAGCCAAGGCAGCGAACAUCAAUCACAGCUAGCAAAAGAAAAAGAGCAACAGUGGAGAAAAAUCCCCCUCAACCAAAUGAAAAGAAGAGCUAUGGAGUGAGAAACAAUGCCAAACAGGCCCUCCCAGCCCAAUAGCCACGUUGCUCAGCAACCCACCGGCUUAACCCUAACCUAAUCACAGGGCAAUCUACAUUGACCAAUUAACCUACGAACCCAUACAUCUUUGGACUGUGGGAGAAAACUGGGGCACCAGGAGGAAACCCACGCAGUCAAGGGGAGAAUGUACAAACUCCUUACAGAAGGCACUGGAUUUGAACUCCGUACUCCGAGCUGUAAUAGUGCUGCAAUAACCGCAAUGCUAUCGUGGCUCCUCUUCACCACUACCAGGUCACAUCAGGCGAAAUAAACUCCAAGCACUGGGUACUACUCCGCAUGGCUCCUUCCUGUGAGGUCCUGGGGACAAUCUGUUUGUUGCAGUGGGAAAAAAGCUAUAAAGCACUGAUCGGUGAGAAUGUAGCCCAGGGAUCGUGAAGCAGAGACUGGUAAAAUUAUUUGCUAAUAUGAAGAAAUAAUAGGAACGAUUUUGUUUAGCUGUAUACAUGUGUAUAGUUGAAUGACUAUGAACUUGAACUCGAUUCCACUUGCCAGAGGAUAUUCACUGAGUUAAGAGUGGAGCAGAAGACUGGGCCAAAUCAUGACCUCCGGUGCUGUCCAUGGCCAUGACAUGAUGGGCCAAAUGACAACCUUCAAAUGACAAUCUUCAAACAACUUCCCACUUGCAGAUUUUAUUGGGAUUUUACCAGGAGGGAAGCAGCAAUGAGAUGUUGUCAGAACACAACUCGGGAGUUCUUCCACCAUGAAACAGUAAACCCAACUUUAUAGCUCCAGUUUAAUUUGCACUUGGAGUGCCACAUCUAUGUAAUAAAUUCAUCUGUUCACAGCACAUAGAAAUCAUGUUGUAGCUUUCGACCCAGGACCAGUAGCUGGCUCCCAGAUACUGGGUUAUUUAAGCAGCACUAACGCUUGGCAUUACAUGUAAUGUUAUUGUCAACUAAUUCUGAGUUUAUGCAUCAACUCACAAUGUUCCCCAGAUUCUUGUUCUUUAACACAAUGACUCACAAGGUGAUAGUAGAUUUAAAAGUCAGCAAGUGUCUCCAUUAAGAUUGCCAGUGUGCAUACCACAUAAUAAAAGAAAAAAAAGAAUUUUUACAACCACUACAGAUUACACAUGACAUGCAUAACACAUCCUAAACAUUUAUCAGUAACUAAUUACAAUUAGCUCCUGGUGAACUUGCACUAAUCAUGUCAUGGUUGUUAACCACUGAUGAAAAUAAUUCAUUGAGGUGUUGCAAUGAGAGAAAGCAUAUAAUAAGUGUGUGUCUUACCACUGUUAGAAACAAAUUAAAGUGGUGAAGCACUUGCAAUGAAAUCAGAAACAAUAAGGAUCGGGAGAUGAGUCACUGAAGGAAUUCAUUUUGAUACCCUAGGGUUUUCAUAUAAUUUACACAAAAGUAAGUACAUUAAGCUAACAACACACACAAAACGCUGGUGGAACACAGCAG
Molecule: long non-coding RNA, 1799 nt
Organism: Hypanus sabinus (Atlantic stingray)
Lineage: Eukaryota; Metazoa; Chordata; Chondrichthyes; Myliobatiformes; Dasyatidae
Exons: 6
Source: RefSeq, a predicted model, not a curated record